GAAAAUGUAGCAAAUGGACCUUGUAGAAGUAGCUGGUAGUGUACAUCCGCAGUGCUCGCUGUGCUGUGCAAUGCACUCAGAUGUCCCUUCCCUUCCUCCCUCUUUUCCUUGGCAGAAGACUAGGAAUUGCUCAACCACCGUGGAGCCUGGAACACGAGUGCUCUCCACCUGUGAAGUUGCACUGCAGCUAUCAUGAGAAAUGAAACAAUGCUCUUCAUCCUGGUUCCUGGAAAAAGACAGAAAUAUGGUAUUUCACCAGAAAAGUCUGUCCAAGUAGGAACUGCAAGGCGACUGCCCUGCCUGGGGAAAGAAAUUGGCAGCAGCUAGGCAUUUUUAGAUCCUGUCUGGAAGGGAGGCUGAAGUGUGUGCAGCUGCACUCAUCAUAAUAGUGCUGCCCUGGCAGCAGCUGCAAGCAAGGGAAGUCCUGUGUGCACCUUGUGUGCAGUGAAUGAAGAUGACAAGAGCAGGGUUGCUUUGAAGAGCAGAUGCCCUUUGAAGGCAGAACAAGCUACCACCUAAGCCACGCUUGCUUGUUUCGACCAACUGGCAGGCCAUGUCUUGUCUGUCACAGCUUCACUGCUGCAACACUGAAUCUACUUAGAGAGCAUUAAGUCUGGGAGUGCAAGCCAGAUCUUUGUCUUGCUUGGCCAUGCUGCCACCCAGAGGGGCCUGGGCAAUCUAGAGAAAUGGGCUGAAAAGAACCUCAUGGAGUUCAACAGUGAGAAGUGCUGAGUCCUGCCUCUGGGGAAAUAAACCCACAGGCUGGGGUCAUCCAGCUGGAAGCAGCUCUGUAGGAAAGGCCCUGAGGUCCUGGUGGGCACAGUAGGUUCAGCAUGUGUCACUAAGAAGACUAACAGUAUUCUUGGCUGGAUUAGGCAAAGUAUCACCAGUAGGCCAAGGGGAGUGAUCCUUCUCCUUUGCUCAGCACUAGCAAGGCCUCACCUGGAGUGCUGGGCUCAUUUCUGGCCCCCUGGAGAGAGCCCGGUGCAGAGACACUGAGAUGCUGCAAGGCCUGGAGCAGCUCUGCUGUGAGCAGAAGCUGAGAGAGUUGGGGCUGCUGAGCCUGGAGAAGACGCCCAGGGAGUUCUCAUCUGUGCCCAUGAAUACUUGAAGGGAGCCAGGCUCUGUUCAGUGGUGCCCAAUGGCAGAACCAAAGGCACUGGACACAAAUUGGAGCACAAGGAGGUUCCCUCUGACCGUCAGGCAGCACUUCUGUGCUGUGCUGGUUAUGAAGAGCUGCCACGGGGACCCAGAGGCUGUGGGGUCUCCUCCUUGGAGAUCUCCAAAAGUUACCUGGACAUGGUACCAGGCACACUGCUCUGGGUGCAUCCGGCACUCACUCAGUUGAGGGGACAGAGUAAGUACCAAGAUAGAUAUUCCUGUGACUUUCCAUUCUUAGUUUCUCAGCUGUUAGCCUUUAGUUUAAUGUUACAAAGGACAUAUAUCACACUAUAUACAAUACAUGUAUA
Molecule: long non-coding RNA, 1469 nt
Organism: Gallus gallus (chicken)
Lineage: Eukaryota; Metazoa; Chordata; Aves; Galliformes; Phasianidae
Source: Ensembl